RNAcentral lists this ribosomal RNA (465 nucleotides) under uncultured bacterium. RNAcentral describes it as "partial 16S ribosomal RNA". It matches the Rfam family "Bacterial small subunit ribosomal RNA", at positions 38 to 507 of the family's 1533-position model. The record is from RNAcentral.
GGGGGGGGGGGGGGGGGGGGGGGGGGGGGGGGGGGCGGGGGGGGGGGGGCCUUUGGGGGGACUCGGGUGGCGAGCGGGUGAGUAACCCGUGAGUGACCUGCCCUUGACUUCGGGGUAACUUCGGGAAACUUGGGCGAAUACCGGAUCGGAAUCCUUGCUGCAUGGUGGUGGUUUGCAAGCUUCGGCGGUUUUGGAUGGACUCGCGGCUUAUCAGCUUGUUGGUGGGGUAGUGGCUUACCAAGGCUUUGACGGGUAGCCGGCCUGAGAGGGCGCACGGCCACAUUGGGACUGAGAUACGGCCCAGACUCCUACGGGAGGCAGCAGUGGGGAAUAUUGCACAAUGGGCGGAAGCCUGUUGCAGCAACGCCGCGUGCGGGAUGACGGCCUUCGGGUUGUAAACCGCUUUCAGCAGGGGCGAAGCUUGUGGUGACGGUACCUGCAGAAGAAGCACCGGCUAACUACGUG